GAUGAACGCUGGCGGCGUGCCUAAUACAUGCAAGUCGAGCGAGCGGACGAGAAGCUUGCUUCUCUGAUGUUAGCGGCGGACGGGUGAGUAACACGUGGAUAACCUACCUAUAAGACUGGGAUAACUUCGGGAAACCGGAGCUAAUACCGGAUAAUAUUUUGAACCGCAUGGUUCAAAAGUGAAAGACGGUCUUGCUGUCACUUAUAGAUGGAUCCGCGCUGCAUUAGCUAGUUGGUAAGGUAACGGCUUUCCAAGGCAACGAUGCAUAGCCGACCUGAGAGGGUGAUCGGCCACACUGGAACUGAGACACGGUCCAGACUCCUACGGGAGGCAGCAGUAGGGAAUCUUCCGCAAUGGGCGAAAGCCUGACGGAGCAACGCCGCGUGAGUGAUGAAGGUCUUCGGAUCGUAAAACUCUGUUAUUAGGGAAGAACAUAUGUGUAAGUAACUGUGCACAUCUUGACGGUACCUAAUCAGAAAGCCACGGCUAACUACGUG
Molecule: ribosomal RNA, 497 nt
Filed under: uncultured bacterium
Lineage: Bacteria
Description: partial 16S ribosomal RNA
Rfam family: Bacterial small subunit ribosomal RNA
Source: RNAcentral